CCUCUCUCCCCUCCCUCCUACAGCGAACACCCCUGGACCCUGAAGAGGGCUCUGCAAGGUUAGCUGUGGCCGUGCGCCGGGGAGGGGAGCCAUGCCUGAAGUACGACCCAGAACAGGGAGGAACGGGGACAACGACCCCAUGGACCGAAGAGUGUGAGGGGAAUCCGCACUAUUUUUCUCUACUGAGGAUAGUCCCAGCUAUGCAGAAUGGCACGGCCGUGCAGGCUGCCGUGACACCAUAAGAACUUGUCCUAUUUCUAGCCAGAGGCCCAGGUCCGGGCUCACCCUCAAGCUGCACGUGUGUGGGACAGACCCAAAGAAGCACGGCAACGGCUUUGAGAACUGAACUGUGACAGAACAACUCACCCAAGUCCCAGGCUCAGCCCUGGAAGGUGCCUGUGUAGGACAGUCACAUAUAAGGCAGCAGAGGCUCUGAAGACUGAAUUGACACUGGAACCAACAGCUAGAGGUGGGACAGAACUUGUAGCCUGAACCUAACUAGGCUGCCUGCUAAAACAAAACAAAAAAUCAACCUUCUUCAGAGGAUUUUUCACAGAACCCAAGACUUAUACCAUAACACUCAAAAUGUUCAGCUACAAUAUUACCCAGCAUGAAGAGAACCAGUAAAAUGUGAACAGCUCUCAGGGGAAGACAACCAACAGGUGCUAACCCUGAGAUAACCCAAACGGGACGAUAAGCGCCUUUAAAAUAGCUUUUGUAGCUAUGCUCCGUGGUGGAAGUAAACACUCUUGAAAUGAACAGACGGACACUACAAAAAAAUGAAUGGAAAUUUUAGAACUGGAAACUAUAAUAUCUGAAAAUUAAAAAAAAAUCAGUGGCAGAAUAGAGGCAGGAAAGUCAGUGAAACUGAAGAUAGAUCAAUAGAAAUUAUCCAAUCUGAAUGAACUGACAGAAGACAUUAAAAAACAUGAACAGGACUUCCCUGGUGGCGCAGUGGUUAAGAAUCCACCUGCCAAUGCAGGGGACACGGGUUCGAGCCCUGGUCCAGGAAGAUCCCACAUGCUGCAGAGCAACUAAGCCCGUGCGCCACAACUACUGAGCCCGAGCACCCUAGAGCCCACAUGCCACAACUACUGAAGACUGCGCACUCUAGGGCCUGCGAGCCACAACUACUGAAGCCCGCGUGCCUAGAGCCCGUGCUCCGCAACAAGAGGAGCCACCGCAGUGAGAAGCCCGCGCACCGCAAUGAAGAGUAGCCCCCGCUCGCCGCAACUAGAGAAAGCCCGCGUGCAGCAACAAAGACCCAAUGCAGCCAAAAUAAAUAAAUAAUCAAAAAUAAAAAAGCCCUAAAAAAAAAUGAGCAAAGUUUCAGAGAUUUGCAGGACAAUAUCAAAAGGUCUAACAUUUGUGUCACUGGAGUCCCAAAAAGAGAGAAAGAGAUUAGCACAUAAAAAAAUAUUUGAAGACAUACUGGCUAAAAACAUCCUGAAUUUAGUGAAAGACAUAAGUUUACAGAAUCAAGAAGCUUAGUAAACCCCAACAGGAUAAAUCAAAGAAAGUUAGGCCCAUACAUAUCAUAACCAAACUGUUGAAAAUCAAAGAUAAAAAAUUUGAAAGCAGCCAGGGAAAAGCAACACACUGCAUAUAGGAGGAACAAGUAUUUAAUGGCUGUGCGUUUCUCAUCAGAAACCAUGGAAGCAAGAAGAAGUGGGACAUUUUUAAACUGCUAAAAGAAAAAGAAUAGUCAACCCAGAAUUCCAUAUCUAGUAAAAAUGCUUUAGAAAUGACAACAGAAUAUAGACAUUCUUAAAUGAAGAAAACUAAAAGAAUUUGUCACCAGCAGACAAAUGCUUCAAAAAAGAAAUGCUAAAGGAAGUUUUUCAGGCUGAAAAGACAGACCAGAGGAAAACUUUAAGAAUAAAGCAAGAGCGACGGAAAUAGGCAGCUGAGAACCAUGUGGGUCACUAAUGAUCUCUUGGGGAAAGCCAGUUCUGAGGAAUAACAGAUUUUUUUGCCUUUUGAAAUAUUCCACUAAGUCUCUAAGCCAAAGCCUUUUGGCCUUCAGAAUAGAGAAUCAUGAGAUCUGGUUAAGCAGAUUUUUGCCCAAUAGAUAUGGCAGGGUUUAGCCAAAGAAUUGAAAGCCCUAAGUAUUAAACAGUCUUUAGAUUUUAUGUAUGUCAGAAGUUCAGAGAGUGAUUGUUUUAUAUUUUAAGUAAUACUUAUAUUUACUUGGAAUAUUACAAUUCAUCAUCUAAGAUAUAUAAAUAGAAAGUAUAUUAAAGUAGAACUGAUUGGAAAUGCUAGUUUCAAAAUAUCAAUAAAUCAGGAUUCUAGUUUCCAUUCACCCUUAGUUUCACGCGUAGAAAUAAUCUUAGGUUUACUAACUUUAAACAUUAGGCAACAAAU
Molecule: long non-coding RNA, 2367 nt
Organism: Lagenorhynchus albirostris (white-beaked dolphin)
Lineage: Eukaryota; Metazoa; Chordata; Mammalia; Artiodactyla; Delphinidae
Exons: 3
Source: RefSeq, a predicted model, not a curated record